GCCCUGCCGCUGCACAUAUACUAAAAUUGGAACGAUACAGAGAAGAUUAGCGUGGCCCCUGCGCAAGAAUGACACGCAAAUAUAUACAUAUAUAUGUAUAUAUAUUUUU
This is a small nuclear RNA of Sorex fumeus (smoky shrew), 109 nucleotides long. Lineage: Eukaryota; Metazoa; Chordata; Mammalia; Eulipotyphla; Soricidae. The record is from RefSeq and is a predicted model, not a curated record.